UGACCUCGAAUCAGGUAGGAA
This 21-nucleotide ribosomal RNA is filed under the name Fusarium solani. Its description in RNAcentral is "partial 28S ribosomal RNA". Lineage: Eukaryota; Fungi; Ascomycota; Sordariomycetes; Hypocreales; Nectriaceae. The record is from RNAcentral.